UCAUUAAAUCAGUUAUCGUUUAUUUGAUAGUACCUUACUACUUGGAUAACCGUGGUAAUUCUAGAGCUAAUACAUGCUAAAAACCUCGACUUCGGAAGGGGUGUAUUUAUUAGAUAAAAAACCAAUGCCCUUCGGGGCUCCCUGGUGAUUCAUAAUAACUUAACGAAUCGCAUGGCCUUGUGCCGGCGAUGGUUCAUUCAAAUUUCUGCCCUAUCAACUUUCGAUUGUUGGGUCUUGGCCAACAAUGGUUUCAACGGGUAACGGGGAAUUAGGGUUCUAUUCCGGAGAGGGAGCCUGAGAAACGGCUACCACAUCCAAGGAAGGCAGCAGGCGCGCAAAUUACCCAAUCCUGAUCCAGGGAGGUAGUGACAAUAAAUACUGAUACAGGGCUCUUUUGGGUCUUGUAAUUGGAAUGAGUACAAUUUAAAUCCCUUAACGAGGAACAAUUGGAGGGCAAGUCUGGUGCCAGCAGCCGCGGUAAUUCCAGCUCCAAUAGCGUAUAUUAAAGUUGUUGCAGUUAAAAAGCUCGUAGUUGAACCUUGGGCCUGGCUGGCCGGUCCGCCUCACCGCGUGCACUGGUCCGGCCGGGCCUUUCCUCCUGGGGAGCCGCAUGCCCUUCACUGGGUGUGUCGGGGAACCAGGACUUUUACUUUGAAAAAAUUAGAGUGUUCAAAGCAGGCCUAUGCUCGAAUACAUUAGCAUGGAAUAAUAGAAUAGGACGUGUGGUUCUAUUUUGUUGGUUUCUAGGACCGCCGUAAUGAUUAAUAGGGACAGUUGGGGGCAUCAGUAUUUAAUUGUCAGAGGUGAAAUUCUUGGAUUUAUUAAAGACUAACUACUGCGAAAGCAUUUGCCAAAGAUGUUUUCAUUAAUCAGUGAACGAAAGUUAGGGGAUCGAAGACGAUCAGAUACCGUCGUAGUCUUAACCAUAAACUAUGCCGACUAGGGAUCGGGCGAUGUUAUCUUUUUGACUCGCUCGGCACCUUACGAGAAAUCAAAGUCUUUGG
RNAcentral lists this ribosomal RNA (1004 nucleotides) under Nagrajchalara yongnianii. RNAcentral describes it as "SSU rRNA". It matches the Rfam family "Eukaryotic small subunit ribosomal RNA", at positions 98 to 1110 of the family's 1831-position model. Lineage: Eukaryota; Fungi; Ascomycota; Leotiomycetes; Helotiales. The record is from RNAcentral.